RNAcentral lists this transfer RNA (96 nucleotides) under Agrocybe pediades. It matches the Rfam family "tRNA". Rfam says of the family: Transfer RNA (tRNA) molecules are approximately 80 nucleotides in length. Their secondary structure includes four short double-helical elements and three loops (D, anti-codon, and T loops). Lineage: Eukaryota; Fungi; Basidiomycota; Agaricomycetes; Agaricales; Agrocybaceae. The record is from Rfam by way of RNAcentral.
UGCCCCAUGGCUUAGUUGGUUACGGCGUCCGACUGUUACAAGCUCCUGGUCAAGGAAGACAUCGGAAGAUCGAGAGUUCGAGUCUCUCUGGGGCAG